This 1172-nucleotide ribosomal RNA is filed under the name Lactiplantibacillus plantarum. Its description in RNAcentral is "bacterial SSU rRNA". It matches the Rfam family "Bacterial small subunit ribosomal RNA", at positions 142 to 1301 of the family's 1533-position model. The record is from RNAcentral. Lineage: Bacteria; Bacillati; Bacillota; Bacilli; Lactobacillales; Lactobacillaceae.
GAUAACACCUGGAAACAGAUGCUAAUACCGCAUAACAACUUGGACCGCAUGGUCCGAGUUUGAAAGAUGGCUUCGGCUAUCACUUUUGGAUGGUCCCGCGGCGUAUUAGCUAGAUGGUGGGGUAACGGCUCACCAUGGCAAUGAUACGUAGCCGACCUGAGAGGGUAAUCGGCCACAUUGGGACUGAGACACGGCCCAAACUCCUACGGGAGGCAGCAGUAGGGAAUCUUCCACAAUGGACGAAAGUCUGAUGGAGCAACGCCGCGUGAGUGAAGAAGGGUUUCGGCUCGUAAAACUCUGUUGUUAAAGAAGAACAUAUCUGAGAGUAACUGUUCAGGUAUUGACGGUAUUUAACCAGAAAGCCACGGCUAACUACGUGCCAGCAGCCGCGGUAAUACGUAGGUGGCAAGCGUUGUCCGGAUUUAUUGGGCGUAAAGCGAGCGCAGGCGGUUUUUUAAGUCUGAUGUGAAAGCCUUCGGCUCAACCGAAGAAGUGCAUCGGAAACUGGGAAACUUGAGUGCAGAAGAGGACAGUGGAACUCCAUGUGUAGCGGUGAAAUGCGUAGAUAUAUGGAAGAACACCAGUGGCGAAGGCGGCUGUCUGGUCUGUAACUGACGCUGAGGCUCGAAAGUAUGGGUAGCAAACAGGAUUAGAUACCCUGGUAGUCCAUACCGUAAACGAUGAAUGCUAAGUGUUGGAGGGUUUCCGCCCUUCAGUGCUGCAGCUAACGCAUUAAGCAUUCCGCCUGGGGAGUACGGCCGCAAGGCUGAAACUCAAAGGAAUUGACGGGGGCCCGCACAAGCGGUGGAGCAUGUGGUUUAAUUCGAAGCUACGCGAAGAACCUUACCAGGUCUUGACAUACUAUGCAAAUCUAAGAGAUUAGACGUUCCCUUCGGGGACAUGGAUACAGGUGGUGCAUGGUUGUCGUCAGCUCGUGUCGUGAGAUGUUGGGUUAAGUCCCGCAACGAGCGCAACCCUUAUUAUCAGUUGCCAGCAUUAAGUUGGGCACUCUGGUGAGACUGCCGGUGACAAACCGGAGGAAGGUGGGGAUGACGUCAAAUCAUCAUGCCCCUUAUGACCUGGGCUACACACGUGCUACAAUGGAUGGUACAACGAGUUGCGAACUCGCGAGAGUAAGCUAAUCUCUCAAAGCCAUUCUCAGUUCGGAUUGU